GUCCAAAAUAGAAUGAUGUUGUCUUUUCCAAGCACAUACCUGAUUGUUCUGUGUGGAAAAUGACUGAUGCUGAGUGAUUUUGGAU
Small nucleolar RNA from Anser brachyrhynchus (Pink-footed goose), 85 nucleotides. Ensembl annotates it as small nucleolar RNA, C/D box 121A. Lineage: Eukaryota; Metazoa; Chordata; Aves; Anseriformes; Anatidae. The record is from Ensembl.